Molecule: non-coding RNA, 74 nt
Organism: Chelonoidis abingdonii (Abingdon island giant tortoise)
Lineage: Eukaryota; Metazoa; Chordata; Testudines; Testudinidae
Source: the annotation of a RefSeq genome assembly
GGCACCAUGGCUUAGCUGGCUAAAGCACCAGUCUAGUAAACAGGAGGUCCUGUGUUCAACUCCCAGUGGUGCAU